This 1527-nucleotide long non-coding RNA is filed under the name Malus domestica (apple). Its description in RNAcentral is "long non-coding RNA (MDOM_LNC014131)". Lineage: Eukaryota; Viridiplantae; Streptophyta; Magnoliopsida; Rosales; Rosaceae. The record is from RNAcentral.
UUGAGUUUCAAUUUCAACCUCCAUUUCUUCUCCCUUCUCAGUUUUUAGGUUAUUACUUCUUGAAGAUUGUUUUGCUAUGGAUCAUUUUGAGGAUGAACAUGCUGAUGAACUCCAAUUCGAAGAGGAAGAAGUCGAAGGUUGUCCAUUUUUAUUUUUUUUAUUUUUUUGGAAACGUGGUACUUUUUCAUUUUAUUAUGGUUUUUAGUUUCAGUUUUUGGUUUUGUAGUCUAACUAUUAUGAUGCCCAAAUUGAUAAUUGUUUUUUGGUUUUUAGUUUGAGUUUAUGGUUUUUUAUCGGAACCCAGAUGGAAAAUCUUUCGAAAUCGAGCUCCAAAAGGCUCUGCAUGUCAUUGGGAAUUGCUCAUCGGAAUUGGGUUUCUGAGUUUUUGAAGAAUAAUUAACUGAGGAUUUAGUGCUAAUUGACCCAAUUCACAUUAAUUGUUUAAUGUCAGUAAAAUGUUAAAAAUCUAGCAAAGAUAGAAUUAUGGAACUUUUGUUAAGAUGGAUGGAUUAUCAUAUAAGCUUAGAUCUUAAAUUUUGAAACUUUUUCGAAGCAUGUGCGUAAUUUAUGUGUUAAAUGUGCUUCUUCAAAUUACUGGUAAGUGAUGAGAAAUCUGUUUUAGUUUUUACUGCAUAAAUGUUGUUGAAAGUGUUUAGCUCAGAGAGUCAGCGAGAUUCUCUUUCUCCUUCUGCGUCAGUAGACAUCAUCGUCUUCGUCGUCGCUGAGCUACAACCAGCAGAGCAAUGGAGCAGCAGAGCAAUCAGAAGACUGCCCAACAACAAGACGAACUCGAAGAAAUGCGGCAUGGCCCUGUCCCCGUCGAACAACUUCAGGUGAACCCAUUUCGAUUUCACACUCAUUUUGAGCAAGUCAGUGGGUUCCCCAUGCGGGUUCUUCUUCAAUCUACUUCCGAUGGGGUUUUCUUGUCUAGAUUCUUUGUUCCCUUCAAAAAUUUAAGAAAUGGGUUUUCAUUUUCUAUGAAAUUAUGUUUGAAUUUCUGUGAAUUGUUGUUAAAGAUUCUAUAUUUCAUAUGGGUUUUGCGAUUUACUGUGAAUUAUUGUUGGGUUUUGUUCUUUACCCACUAUGAGAAAACCUAGCCAGCAACAGACCUGGUUUUGGCUACCAAUUUCAUAUGGGUUUGAUCAUUUUGGUUAUUAUUAAUUAAAAACGGAUUUUUUUAUUAUUAAUAUAUUUGGUGUCGCUUAUGGACGACAGUAGCUUAAUUAUUUUAUUUAUCUAAAUGGUAGGUAAUGUCGGUUACAACCGACAUUAGCUUGACUAUUUUAUUUAUUUAAGUUAGGUGAUGUCAGUUUGAACCGACAGUAAGUGUGAUAUUUUAAUUGUUUAUUUGUUACUUAAUGUCGGUUUGAACAUCCAUCAUAUCAAAUUUCCAUGUCGCUUUUAAGCGACGUAAGAACCGAUGUCGCUUUUAAGCGACGUUGUUGUUCUUUUUUUAUUUUAUAUUACUUUCCUUCUUCGUGGCGGAUUAAGGAAGAUAAGCGACGUCAAUAUCCUUUUGUGACGGUA